This 312-nucleotide ribosomal RNA is filed under the name Triticum aestivum (bread wheat). RNAcentral's name for it is "partial small subunit ribosomal RNA". The record is from RNAcentral. Lineage: Eukaryota; Viridiplantae; Streptophyta; Magnoliopsida; Poales; Poaceae.
AUGCCUAAGCUUCCUAGAAAAGCUCAUGUACAUAACACAGACCAAACAAGCCAACUGAAUGAGCGGUGGCAAACAGGCACCGUGCAGUCGUGUCUCAGGAGGGCGCUGAACCCAUUACAUUCAGAGAUGCUGGCUGCUAAAGCUGCACUUCACUCGGCGUCAGAUUUAGGAAUGGGCAAGGUCUACUUGGAAACUGAUGCUCUGUUGUUGAAGGAAGCGCUAGAUGAUACCUGCCUUGGUGUUGUGGCGGACUGCUUGAAAGCUUUUAUCAUGUGUAAUUUCAUUGAGUGGCAAGAUUGUGCACUGCUCUAG